Molecule: long non-coding RNA, 1153 nt
Filed under: Marmota monax (woodchuck)
Lineage: Eukaryota; Metazoa; Chordata; Mammalia; Rodentia; Sciuridae
Source: RNAcentral
GGGACCGGGGCGCGGGUGCAUGUGGCGCUCGCACCGGGAACCCUAGAUGGAAAGACCCGGGCGCCCGGGGCUCCGCACCACUCAGCGCCAAAGGUGUGCCGCUCCCGGUCCCCGCCAAAACAGAAGACUUUGACUCCAAGGAGCCGUGACUCUUGGAGACGCCAGCCUAAGUACUGAGCAGUUGGUCUCCAGGUGGCAGGUUUAAAAGGCCACCGUAGUGCCUGAAAUGGGGAAGGAGAAUCCAAGAAUGAGAUUAAUCCCCACCAAGCAUAGCGCCCCUCCGUUGCCGAUCCGGUUCUCGUGGUCAUGCCCAGAAAAGAGCGCCGGACGUUCUCUGUCUCAAGGAAACCAUGAUGUUUAAAGGGAAUGAUCCAAAGUCCCAAAAAAUAAUAGAGGACACCAGCAGUUGGGAGGAUAGGAGCGGCAAGGCAGCAAUGGACACAGAGAGCCAGAGUGUCCUUUUCUCCCUGAAGCUGAAAGGCAAUGAGGAAAAAAAGGGGCAACCUGAGGAGCAACUGAGGGAGUGGGAAACAGAGCCCUUUCCCUCUGAGAGCUGAACAAGGGAGAAAGUGAAGGACAAGAUCACAGAGACCUGCCUUUUCCCUCUCAAAAUGCAGUCAAAGUCCAUGUCCCUGUUGUGGUAGAUACUGAAGAUACUAUCACUGUGGGAACUUGGGUACAGGUACACAGGAUUCCUCAGGGUUACUUCUUACCAUUGUCUGUGAAGCUACAAUUAUCUCAGAAUAGUUAUUUAAAAAGAAAGUACCAUAGACCAAAAGAGUGACAUGAGUGAUUAAAGAAAACUAAUGACUACAUGGAAAAGAUGGAAGUGGCAGUCUCUCCGUGUAUGUGCUUACUUUACAGUUUGGGUAGCAUUUGAGAUGGAUGCUGAACACCAUACCAAGACUUUAAAGAGUUGGGAGGACUUUCCAGGUGGAAGGACCAAAGUAAACAAAAAUGGAAAAGUACUCUCCUGUAGAGGAACAGUGAGUAGACCUUCUUUACUGAAUAGUGUAGAGAAACUACAGUUGUCAAAAUUAAUUUAAUCUAUUAUAAAGAGACUUCGGCCCCAUGCAGUGGCACCCACCUGUAAUCCCAGCUAUUUGGAAGGCUGAGGCAGGAGGGAAACUGAGGCAGAAUGGUCACAGAUUUC